Molecule: ribosomal RNA, 507 nt
Filed under: uncultured bacterium
Lineage: Bacteria
Description: bacterial SSU rRNA
Rfam family: Bacterial small subunit ribosomal RNA
Source: RNAcentral
UGGCUCAGGAUGAACGCUAGCGACAGGCUUAACACAUGCAAGUCGAGGGGCAGCAUAGAAGUAGCAAUACUUGGUGGCGACCGGCGCACGGGUGAGUAACGCGUAUGCAACCUACCUAUCAGAGGGGGAUAACCCGGCGAAAGUCGGACUAAUACCGCAUAAAACAGGGGCACCGCAUGGUGAUAUUUGUUAAAGAUUAAUUGCUGAUAGAUGGGCAUGCGUUCCAUUAGGUAGUUGGUGAGGUAAUGGCUCACCAAGCCGACGAUGGAUAGGGGAACUGAGAGGUUGGUCCCCCACACUGGUACUGAGACACGGACCAGGCUCCUACGGGAGGCAGCAGUGAGGAAUAUUGGUCAAUGGGCGAGAGCCUGAACCAGCCAAGUCGCCGUGAAGGAAGAAGGAUCUAUGGUUCGUAAACUUCCUUUGCAGGGGAAUAAAGUGGAGGACGUGUCCUCUUUUGUAUGUACCCUGAGAAUAAGGAUCGGCUAACUCCGUGCCAGCCGCGGC